CCUACGUGAGGCUGCAGUGGGGAAUAUUGCACAAUGGGGGAAACCCUGAUGCAGCGACGCCGCGAGAGUGAAGAAGUAUUUCGGUACGUAAAGCUCUAUCAGCAGGGAAGAAAAUGACGGUACCUGACUAAGAAGCCCCGGCUAACUACGUGCAAGAAGCCGCGGUAAGACGUAGGGGGCAAGCGUUAUCCGGAUUUACUGGGUGGAAGGGGAGCGUAGACGGCAGCGCAAGUCUGGAGUGAAAUCCCAUGGCUUAACCAUGGAACUGCUUUGGAAACUGUGCAGCUAGAGUGCAGGAGAGGUAAGCGGAAUUCCUAGUGUAGCGGUGAAAUGCGUAGAUAUUAGGAGGAACACCAGUGGCGAAGGCGGCUUACUGGACUGUAACUGACGUUGAGGCUCGAAAGCGUGGGGAGCAAACAGGAUUAGAUACCCGGGUAGUC
This 440-nucleotide ribosomal RNA is filed under the name uncultured bacterium. Its description in RNAcentral is "partial 16S ribosomal RNA". It matches the Rfam family "Bacterial small subunit ribosomal RNA", at positions 338 to 795 of the family's 1533-position model. The record is from RNAcentral.